AAUGCAGCUAACAGGCAGUUAAAGUUGAAAAGUAAGAAGAGUUGGGACUAAUACUUCGUAACAAUAAAUAUUUUAUUUGUUACAACAAUGAAAAUUAUUUCUUUACUAUCUUUAGUCGUCUGUGUUGUAGCUACAAUGGCUAUGCCAUCAAAAGUCUCAUCAACGUAUAAUGAUAAUUACCCGGGUUUGAAAGAUGAACUGUGCAACGACCACGACUAUCGAACAGACAACUACAAUUUAUUUGGGCAACUAAUUUAUCUACUUUUGACAAUACCAGACGAAGAUAACUAUACGCAAUACAAUUGCCGUAAUUACUUAAGUAUUUCAAAAAAAGCACUGGCUGUGUUUCUUCGACUUAGAAAUAUUGACAGAGUGAACUAUGAAAAAUUCGACUCCCAUCCAAAGAGAACUUUAGAUAGCAUUGGUGGUGGACACUUAAUAAAAAGAAGCGACAAAAUGGACUUUUAAAUAUUUAAUUAAUUUUAUAUCUUAAGAAAUGCUGAGAAAAAAUUUGUCUGUAAAUUUUUUUUUGUUCUUGAGUGCAUGCACCUACAAAUUAAUAUUAAUGUUUUUUCUCUACAAAGCUGACUUUAAAAACACGAAUCUGGACAAUAUAUACGUAAGGAUGCUUAUCGAUUUGGACAACAGGAUCCGACGAUGUCUCUUAUCAAACUCUUUCGAAAAUAUUUUAACUGUCAUGCAAAACAGAUGCGUGCCACCAAAAUGUGAUUUAAAAAAACUCUUGUGGUACAUGUAUGCUACACACGAAAAUAUGCCUUUUCUAGAUGAAGACAGUUGGAAUAGUAACAAGAUAAAAAAAAAUUUUGAUGAAAUCGACAAGACUUCCGCCUCUUUCAGCACUCUGAACCAAUUAAUUUAAUACUCUGUAUUUCUACUCAUGCAAAACAGCUUUUAUAAUAGACUGUAUUGGACCAUUUAAAAUUUUAGGUGCACAUAGAAUAUAUCGUUUAAAUAAAUGUGAGACAGCUGCAAAAACUAAAACAUAUAAAUGUGUAUGUUUGAUCAAUGUUAGAUUAGUGUUCAAUGAUGCCUUUAAAAAUGUUAAAGUUAAAUUAUAUAUUUUAUUCUGUAAUUUAACAUUUUUGUUAGUAAAAUUAUCCAAUUUUCGUCUGCAUUCUAAGCAUACUAUAUAUUACUUUAAAUAUUAGAACUAAAAAUAAAAAGCAGUGUUCUUGCAAA
This is an RNA transcript of Bactrocera oleae (olive fruit fly), 1200 nucleotides long. RefSeq lists it as uncharacterized. The record is from RefSeq and is a predicted model, not a curated record. Lineage: Eukaryota; Metazoa; Arthropoda; Insecta; Diptera; Tephritidae.